RNAcentral lists this unclassified non-coding RNA (890 nucleotides) under Bombus terrestris (buff-tailed bumblebee). RNAcentral's name for it is "misc RNA ENSBTSG00005024989.1". Lineage: Eukaryota; Metazoa; Arthropoda; Insecta; Hymenoptera; Apidae. The record is from RNAcentral.
GUCUUUUUAUAUAUCGAGUUUCCCCCUGCGUUAAAUUAUACGUUGAAAAAAAGGAAAGAAGGGAGGGAAAAAAAGGGUUGAUCGUGAAAAGCGACCGCCUCGACCUUCACCCUGGGAGCGCAACACGUGUAGCGAAAGGUACGUUAAUAAUAAAUAACUUACCGGUAUGAUCAGUAUGUCGUUGAUGAUUCCUGACGUAUGGAGGUGCUGGAUGCCUGGUCUGCAUAUUCCAGUAGGAGCUUCGACUGUUCCCAAAAUUAUUGACUCGCGGCUGUUGCGAAGGCGAAGUCUGCUUGCAAGAUCCUCGGCUACGCGCAAAAAUUCCACCGCAAUGAUCAUUACCGAUCGCACUGAAAAUUCCCUCUCGUCGCCUUGCCAUCGGUUUUAUACGGAAAGACUCCUGGAAGCGACGAUUUCUCGGUAGCGGCGUGCAAUCUCGUAAAUGACACGGACGAAUAAAGUCAUAAGGGACUCGCGAGCACGGAAUCAAAGUCGAAUGACUCGAACGAUGGCCAGCGCGAGCUCGUUUAUCAUCCAACGAGAAAUAUUAUCAUUCCAUAGGAAAGCGUGUUAUUUCGACGACGGUAAUGACAAUCGAUAUAAAAGCAACGGAUGUGCAAUUUAGAAUAGAAGCCGUAAAAAAAUAGCAAUUAGUUUGAAGUAAACUAGUAAAAAGAUAAUUGAAAAGUGAAGGGAUAAAGUAAGGAAUUUCACAAAAUAGCCUUACUGGAAAAAAUUAAAUUUUGAUACUUUGGUCUAACUCAAAAGAAAACAGAAUUCGAUUCAACUGUGUUGUUAAUAAUAUGAAGCCUAUAUGUACUUUGAUUAAACGUCAUAAAACAGAAUAAUUAAUAAAAUAUCAAUUAUUUUACAUUUAAUUAUAUCCGUGU